GGGUUGUGAGGUUAAGCGACUAAGCGUACACGGUGGAUGCCCUGGCAGUCAGAGGCGAUGAAGGACGUGCUAAUCUGCGAUAAGCGUCGGUAAGGUGAUAUGAACCGUUAUAACCGGCGAUUUCCGAAUGGGGAAACCCAGUGUGAUUCGUCACACUAUCAUUAACUGAAUCCAUAGGUUAAUGAGGCGAACCGGGGGAACUGAAACAUCUAAGUACCCCGAGGAAAAGAAAUCAACCGAGAUUCCCCCAGUAGCGGCGAGCGAACGGGGAGCAGCCCAGAGCCUGAAUCAGUGUGUGUGUUAGUGGAAGCGUCUGGAAAGGCGCGCGAUACAGGGUGACAGCCCCGUACACAAAAAUGCACAUGCUGUGAGCUCGAUGAGUAGGGCGGGACACGUGGUAUCCUGUCUGAAUAUGGGGGGACCAUCCUCCAAGGCUAAAUACUCCUGACUGACCGAUAGUGAACCAGUACCGUGAGGGAAAGGCGAAAAGAACCCCGGCGAGGGGAGUGAAAAAGAACCUGAAACCGUGUACGUACAAGCAGUGGGAGCCUCUUUAUGGGGUGACUGCGUACCUUUUGUAUAAUGGGUCAGCGACUUAUAUUCUGUAGCAAGGUUAACCGAAUAGGGGAGCCGAAGGGAAACCGAGUCUUAACUGGGCGUUAAGUUGCAGGGUAUAGACCCGAAACCCGGUGAUCUAGCCAUGGGCAGGUUGAAGGUUGGGUAACACUAACUGGAGGACCGAACCGACUAAUGUUGAAAAAUUAGCGGAUGACUUGUGGCUGGGGGUGAAAGGCCAAUCAAACCGGGAGAUAGCUGGUUCUCCCCGAAAGCUAUUUAGGUAGCGCCUCGUGAAUUCAUCUCCGGGGGUAGAGCACUGUUUCGGCAAGGGGGUCAUCCCGACUUACCAACCCGAUGCAAACUGCGAAUACCGGAGAAUGUUAUCACGGGAGACACACGGCGGGUGCUAACGUCCGUCGUGAAGAGGGAAACAACCCAGACCGCCAGCUAAGGUCCCAAAGUCAUGGUUAAGUGGGAAACGAUGUGGGAAGGCCCAGACAGCCAGGAUGUUGGCUUAGAAGCAGCCAUCAUUUAAAGAAAGCGUAAUAGCUCACUGGUCGAGUCGGCCUGCGCGGAAGAUGUAACGGGGCUAAACCAUGCACCGAAGCUGCGGCAGCGACACUUAUGUGUUGUUGGGUAGGGGAGCGUUCUGUAAGCCUGCGAAGGUGUACUGUGAGGUAUGCUGGAGGUAUCAGAAGUGCGAAUGCUGACAUAAGUAACGAUAAAGCGGGUGAAAAGCCCGCUCGCCGGAAGACCAAGGGUUCCUGUCCAACGUUAAUCGGGGCAGGGUGAGUCGACCCCUAAGGCGAGGCCGAAAGGCGUAGUCGAUGGGAAACAGGUUAAUAUUCCUGUACUUGGUGUUACUGCGAAGGGGGGACGGAGAAGGCUAUGUUGGCCGGGCGACGGUUGUCCCGGUUUAAGCGUGUAGGCUGGUUUUCCAGGCAAAUCCGGAAAAUCAAGGCUGAGGCGUGAUGACGAGGCACUACGGUGCUGAAGCAACAAAUGCCCUGCUUCCAGGAAAAGCCUCUAAGCAUCAGGUAACAUCAAAUCGUACCCCAAACCGACACAGGUGGUCAGGUAGAGAAUACCAAGGCGCUUGAGAGAACUCGGGUGAAGGAACUAGGCAAAAUGGUGCCGUAACUUCGGGAGAAGGCACGCUGAUAUGUAGGUGAAGUCCCUUGCGGAUGGAGCUGAAAUCAGUCGAAGAUACCAGCUGGCUGCAACUGUUUAUUAAAAACACAGCACUGUGCAAACACGAAAGUGGACGUAUACGGUGUGACGCCUGCCCGGUGCCGGAAGGUUAAUUGAUGGGGUUAGCGCAAGCGAAGCUCUUGAUCGAAGCCCCGGUAAACGGCGGCCGUAACUAUAACGGUCCUAAGGUAGCGAAAUUCCUUGUCGGGUAAGUUCCGACCUGCACGAAUGGCGUAAUGA
RNAcentral lists this ribosomal RNA (1989 nucleotides) under Escherichia coli. RNAcentral describes it as "partial 23S ribosomal RNA". It matches the Rfam family "Bacterial large subunit ribosomal RNA", at positions 1 to 2007 of the family's 2925-position model. The record is from RNAcentral. Lineage: Bacteria; Pseudomonadati; Pseudomonadota; Gammaproteobacteria; Enterobacterales; Enterobacteriaceae.